Molecule: ribosomal RNA, 442 nt
Filed under: uncultured bacterium
Lineage: Bacteria
Description: partial 16S ribosomal RNA
Rfam family: Bacterial small subunit ribosomal RNA
Source: RNAcentral
CCUACGGGUGGCAGCAGUGGGGAAUAUUGGGCAAUGGGCGCAAGCCUGACCCAGCAACGCCGCGUGAAGGAAGAAGGCUUUCGGGUUUUAAACUUCUUUUAAUAGGGAAGAGCAGAAGACGGUACCUCUUUAAUAAGCCACGGCUAACUACGUGACAGCAGCCGCGGUAAUACGAAGGUGGCAAGCGUUGUACGGAUUUACUGGGUGUACAGGGCGUGCAGCCGGGAAGACAAGACAGAGGUGAAAUCCCGCGGCUCAACCGCGGAACUGCAUGUGAAACUGUUUUUCUUGAGUACCGGAGAGGUCAGCGGAAUUCCUUGUGUAGCGGUGAAAUGCGUAGAUAUCAGGAAGAACACCAGUGGCGAAGGCGGAUUACUGGACGGCAACUGACGGUGAGGCGCGAAAGCGUGGGGAGCAAACAGGAUUAGAUACCCGAGUAGUC